RNAcentral lists this ribosomal RNA (253 nucleotides) under uncultured bacterium. RNAcentral describes it as "partial 16S ribosomal RNA". It matches the Rfam family "Bacterial small subunit ribosomal RNA", at positions 524 to 776 of the family's 1533-position model. The record is from RNAcentral.
UACGUAGGGGGCAAGCGUUGUCCGGAAUCAUUGGGCGUAAAGAGCGUGUAGGCGGCCAGAUAAGUCCGCUGUGAAAUCUCGAGGCUCAACUUCGAGCUGUCGGUGGAAACUGUCUGGCUAGAGUCCGGAAGAGGAGAGUGGAAUUCCUGGUGUAGCGGUGAAAUGCGCAGAUAUCAGGAAGAACACCUAUGGCGAAGGCAGCUCUCUGGGACGGUACUGACGCUGAGACGCGAAAGCGUGGGGAGCGAACAGG